AUAGCAUAUCAAUAAGCGGAGGAAAAGAAACUAACAAGGAUUCCCCUAGUAACUGCGAGUGAAGCGGGAAAAGCUCAAAUUUAAAAGCUGGCGGUCUUUGGCCCGUCCGCGUUGUAAUCUAGAGAAGCGCUACCCGCGUUGGACCGUGUACAAGUCUCCUGGAAUGGAGCGUCAUAGAGGGUGACAAUCCCGUCUUUGACACGGACUACCAAGGCUUUGUGGUACGCUCUCAAAGAGUCGAGUUGUUUGGGAAUGCAGCUCAAAAUGGGUGGUAAAUUCCAUCUAAAGCUAAAUAUUGGCGAGAGACCGAUAGCGAACAAGUACCGUGAGGGAAAGAUGAAAAGAACUUUGGAAAGAGAGUUAAACAGUACGUGAAAUUGCUGAAAGGGAAACGCUUGAAGUCAGUCGCGUCGUCCGGAGAUCAACCUUGCUUUUGCUGGGCGUACUCUCCGGUUGACGGGCCAGCAUCAGUUUUGGUCACUGGAAAAGGGUAGAGGGAAUGUGGCAUCCUCGGAUGUGUUAUAGCCUUCUAUCGUAUACAGUGGCUGGGACUGAGGAACUCAGCACGCCGCAAGGCCGGGAUUCGUCCACGUUCGUGCUUAGGAUGCUGGCAUAAUGGCUUUAAUCGACCCGUCUUGAAACACGGACCAAGGAGUCUAACAUACCUGCGAGUGUUUGGGUGGAAAACCCGAGCGCGUAAUGAAAGUGAAAGUUGAGAUCCCUGUCGUGGGGAGCAUCGACGCCCGGACCAGACCUUUUGUGACGGAUCUGCGGUAGAGCAUGUAUGUUGGGACCCGAAAGAUGGUGAACUAUGCCUGAAUAGGGUGAAGCCAGAGGAAACUCUGGUGGAGGCUCGUAGCGAUUCUGACGUGCAAAUCGAUCGUCAAAUUUGGGUAUAGGGGCGAAAGACUAAUCGAACCAUCUAGUAGCUGGUUCCUGCCGAGCUUCUUCUUCCGGGUG
RNAcentral lists this ribosomal RNA (960 nucleotides) under Gymnopilus sp. RNAcentral describes it as "partial large subunit ribosomal RNA". It matches the Rfam family "Eukaryotic large subunit ribosomal RNA", at positions 35 to 980 of the family's 3401-position model. Lineage: Eukaryota; Fungi; Basidiomycota; Agaricomycetes; Agaricales; Galerinaceae. The record is from RNAcentral.